GGUAUAGUCAUAUAUAUAUUUUUAAUUUUUUUCCUGACCUUUAAAGUAAUAGCUCGUCUUAAAGACCUUUUUUGAUUGCAUAUCAUGAUCACCCUUUUUUUCUUAAUUUGAUGCUCUGGUCAUAUUCUUCAUGUUUUGAAUCGAGGGAUUAAGAAAUAGCAGGUCAUAAAAGCCUAUCAUCCAAUUUUUUGCUGUUCUAAUCAGUUUGUUGUGGAACUUGAAUUUGAAAGUUGUCUAUCACAAUAAUUCUUGUUCGUGGACUGCUGCUGAGUUUGGACUUAUGGUGAUGAUCUUGGAGAUGCCAUUUUCGAUUUGAUCCUCUUCACUUGGCUGUUAAGGCUAUCUGGUAGAGUCAUUAUAUUUGUAAAGAUUAUUCACAUAAUUCUUUUCAUGAGUUAGGAAAGCUAAGAGCGAAUUAUUGACCUUCAAAAACCAUUUUGCAUUUAUUUGUUUCACUUCUGUAUUUUCUGUAGAAGUUGGAGAUAUUUUUACUCUUUUAUUCUAGUAGAAUGUAUAUUUUCUGAGUAUUGAGG
RNAcentral lists this long non-coding RNA (533 nucleotides) under Elaeis guineensis (African oil palm). RNAcentral's name for it is "long non-coding RNA (EGUI_LNC075378)". The record is from RNAcentral. Lineage: Eukaryota; Viridiplantae; Streptophyta; Magnoliopsida; Arecales; Arecaceae.